RNAcentral lists this ribosomal RNA (831 nucleotides) under uncultured Cryptomonadaceae. RNAcentral's name for it is "SSU rRNA". It matches the Rfam family "Eukaryotic small subunit ribosomal RNA", at positions 441 to 1286 of the family's 1831-position model. The record is from RNAcentral. Lineage: Eukaryota; Cryptophyceae; Cryptomonadales; Cryptomonadaceae.
UUACCCAAUCCCGAUUCGGGGAGGUAGUGACAAUAAAUAACAAUACAGGGCCAACGGUCUUGUUAUUGGAAUGAGAACAAUUUAAAUAACUUAACGAGGAUCAAUUAGAGGGCAAGUCUGGUGCCAGCAGCCGCGGUAAUUCCAGCUCUAAUAGCGUAUAUUAAAGUUGUUGCAGUUAAAAAGCUCGUAGUCGGAUGUCGGGCUCGGGCAGGCUGUCGGCUUCGGUCGGACGGCUGGCUCGGGUCUUUCUGCCUGAGGAUCCUGUUGCACUUAAUUGUGGGGCGUGGGGACGCAGGCCGUUUACUUUGAAAAAAUUAGAGUGUUCAAAGCAGGCCUACGCUUGAAUACAUUAGCAUGGAAUAAUGGAAUAGGACUUUGGUGCUAUUUUGUUGGUUUAUGGGACCGAAGUAAUGAUUAACAGGGACAGUUGGGGCCGUUUAUAUUUCGUUGUCAGAGGUGAAAUUCUUGGAUUUACGAAAGAUAAACUUCUGCGAAAGCAUUCGGCAAGGAUGUUUUCAUUGAUCAAGAACGAAAGUUAGGGGAUCGAAGACGAUCAGAUACCGUCGUAGUCUUAACCAUAAACUAUGCCGACUAGGGAUCAGUGGAUGUCAAUUUGCGACUCCAUUGGCACCUUGUGAGAAAUCAAAGUUUUUGGGUUCCGGGGGGAGUAUGGUCGCAAGGCUGAAACUUAAAGGAAUUGACGGAAGGGCACCACCAGGAGUGGAGCCUGCGGCUUAAUUUGACUCAACACGGGGAAACUUACCAGGUCCAGACAUAGUAAGGAUUGACAGAUUGAAAGCUCUUUCUUGAUUCUAUGGGUGGUGGUGCAUG